UCCCUGGAGGACUAGUGGUUAGGCCACAGCACUCUCACUGCUGCAGCCUGGGUUCAAUUCCCGGCUAGAGAA
This 72-nucleotide transfer RNA is filed under the name Pangasianodon hypophthalmus (striped catfish). It matches the Rfam family "tRNA". Rfam says of the family: Transfer RNA (tRNA) molecules are approximately 80 nucleotides in length. Their secondary structure includes four short double-helical elements and three loops (D, anti-codon, and T loops). Further hydrogen bonds mediate the characteristic L-shaped molecular structure. tRNAs have two regions of fundamental functional importance: the anti-codon, which is responsible for specific mRNA codon recognition, and the 3' end, to which the tRNAs corresponding amino acid is attached (by aminoacyl-tRNA synthetases). tRNAs cope with the degeneracy of the genetic code in two manners: having more than one tRNA (with a specific anti-codon) for a particular amino acid; and 'wobble' base-pairing, i.e. permitting non-standard base-pairing at the 3rd anti-codon position. The record is from Rfam by way of RNAcentral. Lineage: Eukaryota; Metazoa; Chordata; Actinopteri; Siluriformes; Pangasiidae.